UACGGAGGGUGCGAGCGUUGUCCGGAAUCACUGGGCGUAAAGGGCGUGUAGGUGGCCUGUGGAAGUCUGCGGUGAAAGCCCGGCGCUCAACGCCGGGUCGGCCGUGGAUACUCUCGGGCUUGAGCUUACUAGAGGCAGAUGGAAUUCCGGGUGUAGCGGUGGAAUGCGUAGAUAUCGUAAGGAAGACCAGUGGCGAAGGCGGGUCUCUGGACAGUUCCUGACGCUGAGGCACGAAGGUCAGGGGAGCAAACGGG
This 254-nucleotide ribosomal RNA is filed under the name uncultured bacterium. Its description in RNAcentral is "partial 16S ribosomal RNA". It matches the Rfam family "Bacterial small subunit ribosomal RNA", at positions 524 to 776 of the family's 1533-position model. The record is from RNAcentral.